UCACUUCCAUGCUGACUGACAGGCUAGCUGCCUUCAGCAGACGUAUUUGUCCAUUGCUACUGAUAUACCUGAUAUGUCCAGAAAUUCCUUUUCAUUUGUGGUUUACUAGAAUUUUUCAACAAAAAGUAAUACAUGUUCUAGCAUGACAAAGGAUGGCUCUGAAAUUACUAUGCAAUGUGUAGGCUGCUACUUAUUAGAGAGUACUAGGGAGAGUAUAUGAUAGUGGUUCUAUACAAUACAGAAUGAGAGACAUAACUGGUGAAUUCAUUUUACUUAGCUUUACUGUAAGAGUGAAGUGAUGGGAAAUUUAUUAUUGCACUACCAUUCUCACUAAGAUAGUUAAUGAUCCGUCGGGAUCGCCUUAAUAAAUCUCUCUUUCAGGGGUUGAUUACUGUAACAAUAAUUCACUCCAGAAUGAAACUUGCAUAUUUGAUCAUUGCCCGGAAACGUAAAUGCUUUACCAAUUUUGAAAAAUAAAAUUGUUUUUACUUUGGACUUUUAUCUCUUUGUAAAGACCCAGCAUGGUCUUUACUCUCUGAUCAAAAGAUUUCUCUACGUAUGAUUUUAAUUUCUCCCUUGUACGUCUAUUGAAACUAGGGUGGGUACGCUUAUGAUUUUAUGUAGCAUCAGAAAACUGCAUUGAUGAGGAAGAAUUCUGGUUCACUGGUGUUUCUCUCUCUCUCUUCAUAUGUGCUCCUUGAAGGAAGAAUAUUAUUCCUGGUCAAUAAUAAGUAAUACUGCAGAAAUCUGAGCUGAGUCUGAUGGCACCCUGCAACAUAUAUAUGAUUAUGCAGCCUGUGUGAUAUUUUGGGAAGUAGACCUGCACAAUGUGGCAUCCUGCUGGUUACUGCUACAACACCAGCCUUCUCACCACCUUCUCUCUGUCAAGUUUUCUCCUCCCAAACUGACUCAGAAGGUGUGCUCACACACAGGGCCAAUUCUUCAGAGAGCCUUCAACCCAGCCUCCAUUUGGGAGCAAUGUGCUAUGCAAUUUGAACACCAUUAUUUGUGCAUUCCAUUGUUUGCAUAGCUGUGUAUGCAAAAGCAGAAAGCAUUUUUUGAAGAUUUCACCCACAAGGUAAGUAAUACUCUGACUGCUGAAUCACAUCUUUCUUUUUUUUUUUAAAUGCAGUAGGAAAUCAAAUGCCAGCUUGGCAUUAAACAAAAGGGUCAUAGAUUGGGCCUGGUAAAGUAAUACAAACAAUACUACUUCCUGACUUUGUUUUUUAAAAGCAACUUUAUAGCUAAACAGUAACUUUAGAAGAAAAACAAAACAAGAUUCCUAGUGACUUUAUAUCUUGGAAGGAACUUGAGAAAAAAAAAAUCUAAUCUUUCCCCCCAAAACUUUGUCCAUAAGUGGGUGAAAUGGGAUUUAGAAUCUGAAUGUAGAUUUGGCUAUGAUUACAAGUGGUCACUACCUCUAUAAUGGGCUGAAUCAAAACCCAACUCCAAAUACGGUUUUGAAAUUCAAAUUUGGUGGCUUGGGCUGGUCUCUAGUGAUAAUAUUUCAUAGAAUCAUAAAAUCAUAGAACUGGAAGGAAGGUCAUCUAGUCCAGUCUCCUGCACCCAAGGCAGGGCUAAGUAUUAUCUAGACAAUCCCUGACAGGUGUUUGUCCAACCUGCUCUUAAAAAUCCCCAAUGAUGGAGAUUCCACCACCUCCCUAGGCAAUUUACUCCAGUGCUUAAUCACUCUGACUGUUAGGAAGUUUUUCCAAAUGUCCAACCUAAACUGCCCUUGCUGCAAUUUAAGCCCAUUGCUUCUUGUCCUAUCCUCAGAGGUUAAAAAGAACAUUUUUUCUCCCUCCUCCUUGUAACAGUUUUCAAGUACAUAAAAAGUUGGUAUGUCCCCUCUCAGUCUUCUCUUUUCCAGACUAAACAAUUUUUUCAAUCUUCCCUCAUAGGUUAUGUUUUCUAGACCUUUAAUCAUUUUUGUUGCUCUUCUCUGGACUUUCUCCAGU
Chrysemys picta bellii (western painted turtle) is the source of this 1958-nucleotide long non-coding RNA. The record is from Ensembl. NCBI's taxonomy places the organism in Eukaryota, Metazoa, Chordata, Testudines, Emydidae.